CAUAGCGGUAUCCUGAGUAACGCGGGACACGAGGAAUCCUGCGCGAAUCUGCCGGGACCAUCCGGUAAGGCUAAAUACUCCCGUGAGACCGAUAGCGAACGAGUACUGUGAAGGAAAGGUGAAAAGAACCCCGAGCAGGGGAGUGAAAUAGUUCCUGAAACCAUACGCCUACAAGCGGUCGGAGCAUCUUACGAUGUGACGGCGUGCCUUUUGCAUAAUGAUCCUACGAGUUACCGUCACUGGCGAGGUUGAGUGUCACGAGACACGUAGCCGCAGUGAAAGCGAGCCUGAACAGGGCGCACAGUCAGUGGGGGUAGACGCGAAACCAAGUGAUCUACACUUGGCCAGGAUGAAGUCCCGGUAACACGGGAUGGAGGUCCGCACCAAUAAGCGUUGAAAAGCUUCUGGAUGAGCCGAGUGUAGGAGUGAAAGGCCAAUCAAACUUGGAGAUAGCUCGUACUCCCCGAAAGGCAUUUAGGUGCCGCGUCGGAUGGUCACCGUGAGAGGUAGAGCGACCGAUAGGACAAGAGGGCUUCACCGCCUAUCGAGUCCUGACGAACUCCGAAUGCUCACGGUCUGCAGUCCGGCAGUAAGGGGGCGGGUGCUAAGGUCCGUCCCCGAGAGGAGAAGAAUCCAGACCGCCGUCUAAGGUCCCGGAGUUCUGCCUGAGUUAGUCUAACGAAGUCUGGUCCCUAUGACAGCUAGGAUGUUGGCUUGGAAGCAGCCAUUCAUUCAAAGAGUGCGUAACAGCUCACUAGUCGAGGGUCCGGGCAUGGAUAAUAAUCGGGUAUAAGGCAGACACCGAAGGCGCGGGAUAGCAAUUAUAAAAGUAUCGGUAGGGGAGCAUACUCACAGCGUCGAAUGGUGUACGUAAGUUAUCCUGGAGCGGUGAGUAAAGCAAAUGUAGGAAUAAGUAACGAUAAGGAGGGUUAGAUUCCCUCCCGCUGUAAGACCAAGGUUUCCCGGGCAAUGCCAAUCAGCCCGGGGUCAGUCGGGUCCUAAGUCUAAGCCGAACGGCGAUGGCGAUGGCAGAGACGGUUAAUAUUCCGUCACUGCCGCAUGGGGCGA
This 1068-nucleotide ribosomal RNA is filed under the name Segatella copri. Its description in RNAcentral is "partial 23S ribosomal RNA". It matches the Rfam family "Bacterial large subunit ribosomal RNA", at positions 396 to 1459 of the family's 2925-position model. The record is from RNAcentral. Lineage: Bacteria; Pseudomonadati; Bacteroidota; Bacteroidia; Bacteroidales; Prevotellaceae.